This 468-nucleotide ribosomal RNA is filed under the name uncultured bacterium. RNAcentral describes it as "partial 16S ribosomal RNA". It matches the Rfam family "Bacterial small subunit ribosomal RNA", at positions 28 to 507 of the family's 1533-position model. The record is from RNAcentral.
GACGAACGCUGGCGGCGUGCUUAACACAUGCAAGUCGAACGGAAAGGCCCUGCUUUUGUGGGGUGCUCGAGUGGCGAACGGGUGAGUAACACGUGAGUAACCUGCCCUUGACUUUGGGAUAACUUCAGGAAACUGGGGCUAAUACCGGAUAGGAGCUCCUGCUGCAUGGUGAGGGUUGGAAAGUUUCGGCGGUUGGGGAUGGACUCGCGGCUUAUCAGCUUGUUGGUGGGGUAGUGGCUUACCAAGGCUUUGACGGGUAGCCGGCCUGAGAGGGUGACCGGCCACAUUGGGACUGAGAUACGGCCCAGACUCCUACGGGAGGCAGCAGUGGGGAAUAUUGCACGAUGGGCGGAAGCCUGAUGCAGCAACGCCGCGUGCGGGAUGACGGCCUUCGGGUUGUAAACCGCUUUCGCCUGUGACGAAGCGUGAGUGACGGUAAUGGGUAAAGAAGCACCGGCUAACUACGUG